UACAUGGGGUGCAACCGUUGCUCGGAAUUAUUGGGCGUAAAGCGCGCGUAGGCGGUUACUUAUGUCGGAUGUGAAAGCCCUCGGCUUAACUGAGGAAGUGCAUUCGAAACUGGGUAGCUAGAGUACUAAAGAGGGUCGCGGAAUUCCCGGUGUAGAGGUGAAAUUCGUAGAUAUCGGGAGGAACACCGGUGGCGAAGGCGGGUCUCUGGGCCGAUACUGACGCUGAGGAGCGAAAGCGUGGGGAGCGAACAGG
This 253-nucleotide ribosomal RNA is filed under the name uncultured bacterium. Its description in RNAcentral is "partial 16S ribosomal RNA". It matches the Rfam family "Bacterial small subunit ribosomal RNA", at positions 524 to 776 of the family's 1533-position model. The record is from RNAcentral.